GUGAACGCUGGCGGUAGGCCUAACACAUGCAAGUCGAACGGCAGCACAGUAAGGGCUUGCUCUUACGGGUGGCGAGUGGCGGACGGGUGAGGAAUACAUCGGAAUCUACUUUUUCGUGGGGGAUAACGUAGGGAAACUUACGCUAAUACCGCAUACGACCUACGGGUGAAAGCAGGGGAUCUUCGGACCUUGCGCGAUUGAAUGAGCCGAUGUCGGAUUAGCUAGUUGGCGGGGUAAAGGCCCACCAAGGCGACGAUCCGUAGCUGGUCUGAGGGGAUGAUCAGCCACACUGGAACUGAGACACGGUCCAGACUCCUACGGGAGGCAGCAGUGGGGAAUAUUGGACAAUGGGCGCAAGCCUGAUCCAGCCAUACCGCGUGGGUGAAGAAGGCCUUCGGGUUGUAAAGCCCUUUUGUUGGGAAAGAAAAGCGGCAGGUUAAUACCCCGCUGUUCUGACGGUACCCAAAGAAUAAGCACCGGCUAACUUCGUG
RNAcentral lists this ribosomal RNA (491 nucleotides) under uncultured bacterium. RNAcentral's name for it is "partial 16S ribosomal RNA". It matches the Rfam family "Bacterial small subunit ribosomal RNA", at positions 29 to 507 of the family's 1533-position model. The record is from RNAcentral.